UACGAAGGGGGCUAGCGUUGCUCGGAAUUACUGGGCGUAAAGGGCGCGUAGGCGGAUGACACAGUCAGAUGUGAAAUUCCCGGGCUUAACCUGGGGGCUGCAUUUGAUACGUGUUGUCUAGAGUGAGGAAGAGGGUUGUGGAAUUCCCAGUGUAGAGGUGAAAUUCGUAGAUAUUGGGAAGAACACCGGUGGCGAAGGCGGCAACCUGGUCCUUGACUGACGCUGAGGCGCGAAAGCGUGGGGAGCAAACAGG
This 253-nucleotide ribosomal RNA is filed under the name uncultured bacterium. RNAcentral's name for it is "partial 16S ribosomal RNA". It matches the Rfam family "Bacterial small subunit ribosomal RNA", at positions 524 to 776 of the family's 1533-position model. The record is from RNAcentral.